Molecule: transfer RNA, 75 nt
Filed under: bacterium
Lineage: Bacteria
Also listed under: 3 other names
Description: tRNA-Glu
Rfam family: tRNA
About the family: Transfer RNA (tRNA) molecules are approximately 80 nucleotides in length. Their secondary structure includes four short double-helical elements and three loops (D, anti-codon, and T loops).
Source: RNAcentral
GCCCCCAUCGUCUAUCGGUUAGGACACGGGCUUUUCAUGCCUGUAAGAGGAGUUCGACUCUCCUUGGGGGUGCCA